Astatotilapia calliptera (eastern happy) is the source of this 635-nucleotide long non-coding RNA. Lineage: Eukaryota; Metazoa; Chordata; Actinopteri; Cichliformes; Cichlidae. The record is from Ensembl.
GCACACUCGCUCUCUCAGCCCGCGGGUUUCGGAACAAGAAGAAAGGAGAAAAAAGAGCACAAGCGCAUCGUUAAAGCCGACUAACGUGAAAACACGUGACAAGACGAAGGCUCAGAGACAGACCUCAUCCUUUUACUUUAACCAUGAAACAUGAAGCUGUCGCUCAUGAGACAGGAGCUCAGCUUUCAGCGUCACAGCUGGAACAACAUCAGCUGACAUGAAAGACACACAGACGUUUGUUCCCUGUUAGCAAAGAUGAAGAUGGAGAGCGUGAGGGAACUACAGAGAGGAGGAGGAGGACACGAGCUGUGAGGGACGCAGUGGACCAGCCCUCAGACCUACAUCAGCAGGAGCGAGGACGACCCCCCCCCCCCCCCCCCCCCCCCAGUGUGCGGACGUUCCCACCACAUGAAUGGGGGACAGGAGGCGCAGCUUCCAGCCCAGCUGGUAGGAAAGUCCUCCUUGGGUGGACUUCUCUGUAACUAUGGACUCGUGCAUGCAGACGUUUCAGUCCACAGUGAUGUCAGUCAGUGCUUUUUAAAGAUGUGCAGGAUGUGAAAUCUUCAGUUUGAUUGUUAAAUGUUCGUUCACUUUGUUUGUGCUUCAAAUAAAUUCACUUCAUGGAUGAAACAGUU